UUGACCUCGGAUCAGG
RNAcentral lists this non-coding RNA (16 nucleotides) under Aspergillus aculeatus. Lineage: Eukaryota; Fungi; Ascomycota; Eurotiomycetes; Eurotiales; Aspergillaceae. The record is from RNAcentral. RNAcentral also lists the same sequence under 128 other names.